UCCUGUUUAAUCAAAAACAUGUCUGUGUGAAAUUGUUAUAAAGUCUAGCCUGCCCACUGAUUAACUUAAAGGGCCGCGGUAAUUUGACCGUGCGAAGGUAGCAUAGUCAGUAGUCUUUUAAUUGAAGGCUUGAAUGAAAGGUUGGACGAGGGAUAAGCUGUCUCCUUUACAUAAUGUUGAAUUUAACUUUUGAGUGAAAAGGCUCAAAUUUCUUAAUGGGACGAUAAGACCCUAUAAAACUUAAUAUAAUUUUGGCUUAAUUUGUGAUUAUUAGUGAAAAGUAGUUUUGCCGGGUUUAUAUUUCGUUGGGGAGAUGUAGAUAUAAUAUGUAACUGUCUAUAUAAUUUAAUAAUUAUAAUUAGUAUUUGAUCCUUCUUUGUGGAUUAGAAGAAUAAGUUACUUUAGGGAUAACAGCGUGAUUUUCUUUGAGAGUUCUUAUCGACAAGAGUAGUUGCGACCUCGAUGUUGAAUUAAAAUUUCAGCUAGGUGUAGCCGUUUAGCUGGUGGGUCUGUUCGACCUUAAAAUAUACAUGAUU
RNAcentral lists this ribosomal RNA (536 nucleotides) under Macrobrachium idella. RNAcentral's name for it is "partial 16S ribosomal RNA". It matches the Rfam family "Bacterial large subunit ribosomal RNA", at positions 1798 to 2605 of the family's 2925-position model. Lineage: Eukaryota; Metazoa; Arthropoda; Malacostraca; Decapoda; Palaemonidae. The record is from RNAcentral.